GACGAACGCUGGCGGCGUGCUUAACACAUGCAAGUCGAACGGAAAGGCCCUGCUUUUGUGGGGUGCUCGAGUGGCGAACGGGUGAGUAACACGUGAGUAACCUGCCCUUGACUUUGGGAUAACUUCAGGAAACUGGGGCUAAUACCGGAUAGGAGCUCCUGCUGCAUGGUGGGGGUUAGAAAGUUUCGGCGGUUGGGGAUGGACUCGCGGCUUAUCAGCUUGUUGGUGGGGUAGUGGCUUACCAAGGCUUUGACGGGUAGCCGGCCUGAGAGGGUGACCGGCCACAUUGGGACUGAGAUACGGACCAGACUCCUACGGGGGGCAGCAGUGGGGAAUAUUGCACAAUGGGCGGAAGCCUGAUGCAGCAACGCCGCGUGCGGGAUGACGGCCUUCGGGUUGUAAACCGCUUUCGCCUGUGACGAAGCGUGAGUGACGGUAAUGGGUAAAGAAGCACCGGCUAACUACGUG
This 468-nucleotide ribosomal RNA is filed under the name uncultured bacterium. RNAcentral describes it as "partial 16S ribosomal RNA". It matches the Rfam family "Bacterial small subunit ribosomal RNA", at positions 28 to 507 of the family's 1533-position model. The record is from RNAcentral.